RNAcentral lists this ribosomal RNA (494 nucleotides) under uncultured bacterium. Its description in RNAcentral is "partial 16S ribosomal RNA". It matches the Rfam family "Bacterial small subunit ribosomal RNA", at positions 28 to 506 of the family's 1533-position model. The record is from RNAcentral.
GAUGAACGCUGGCGGCGUGCCUAAUACAUGCAAGUAGAACGCUGAAGGAGGAGCUUGCUCUUCUGGAUGAGUUGCGAACGGGUGAGUAACGCGUAGGUAACCUGCCUGGUAGCGGGGGAUAACUAUUGGAAACGAUAGCUAAUACCGCAUGACAACAGUUAUUGCAUGAUAACUGUUUAAAAGGGGCAACUGCUCCACUACCAGAUGGACCUGCGUUGUAUUAGCUAGUUGGUGAGGUAACGGCUCACCAAGGCGACGAUACAUAGCCGACCUGAGAGGGUGAUCGGCCACACUGGGACUGAGACACGGCCCAGACUCCUACGGGAGGCAGCAGUAGGGAAUCUUCGGCAAUGGACGGAAGUCUGACCGAGCAACGCCGCGUGAGUGAAGAAGGUUUUCGGAUCGUAAAGCUCUGUUGUAAGAGAAGAACGAGUGUGAGAGUGGAAAGUUCACACUGUGACGGUAUCUUACCAGAAAGGGACGGCUAACUACGU